This 484-nucleotide ribosomal RNA is filed under the name uncultured bacterium. RNAcentral describes it as "partial 16S ribosomal RNA". It matches the Rfam family "Bacterial small subunit ribosomal RNA", at positions 29 to 507 of the family's 1533-position model. The record is from RNAcentral.
AGUGAACGCUGGCGGCAGGCCUAAUACAUGCAAGUCGAGCGGCAGCGCGGGGGGAACCCUGGCGGCGAGCGGCGGACGGGCGAGGGAUUCGCAGGAAUCUGCCCUUCUGUUGGGGCUAACGUAGGGACGCUUACGCUAAUACAACAUCCGUCCUUCGGGUGAACGGGGGGGACCGAAAGGACUCAAGCAGCUUGCUGAGCCGACGACCGAUUAGCUAGUUGGUUAGGUAAAGGCCCACCAAGGCGACGAUCGGUAGCUGGGCUGAGAGGAUGAUCUGCCACACUGGAACUGAGACACGGCCCAGACUCCUACGGGAGGCAGCAGUGGGGAAUAUUGGACAAUGGGCGCAAGCCUGAUCCAGCCAUGCCGCGUGUGUGAAGAAGGCCUUCGGGUUGUAAAGCACUUUUGUCCGGAAAGAAAACACUGGUGCUAAUACCUUCGGGUGAUGACGGUACCGGAAGAAUAAGCACCGGCUAACUUCGUG